UCCUGCCGUAAUACUGUAAAUGUACACCCACGUAUAUGAGAGACAGCAAAUCCUGCCUGGCUUUGGAGAGAAAAAAUGUGAAGGCCACAGGACCUUAAAAGAUGGAUGAGGAUCAUAUAGGAUCAUACAGCUGCUAUGGGGGAUGAGUGUGUGGGUCAAGAACCAAGGCUUGAGAGUUACCCAUUCAGAGCAGAAAUCCAGGAAGUUUCCUUACAUGCAUCUUCACUUUUACUGAUUAUAUGCAUACUGUAUUAAUAUUAAGGCCUGAGGCUGAAGAAGUGCCAGUACUGAUCCCUAAAUCUCCAGAACAAGAAAGGGGGAAAGAAAGAAGGUCCCCUUGGCUGUUUUCCAUAAAUCUAGAACUAUGAACAUUGCAUUCCUCUGAGACUUCUUUUCUGCUGGAGCUUUGGAGUGUGACAAUGGUGUUUGUAUCCAAUCUCUCAAACGCCAUUAUCACACUAAAUAGCUACUGUUAGAUAAACCAUCAGGUGCAGGAAAAAAAAGGAAGAGGAAGAGGUGUUGGUGGUGAUGGAGGAGAAGAAUAUUUGAGAAAUGCAUUUUCUGGCAGCUGCGAGAGAAUACCACAAUGAGAUGUCAUGACAGCUCUGUGCUUUUCAUUGCCAAAAUAUCACACAAUAAAUAAUACGUUCUGUUUCUUAAAAAUGCACAUGGUGAUCCAACUAGUUUUGCUGAGAUGGCAUGACUCAAAUUUAUGUUCAUCAAUGGCAGGAAAAUUUGACUGCUCAAGAGCAAAUGAUUAUGUAGGCUCAUUAGCACAAACAGCCCACACACAACUGUCUCUCUUUUCCUUCUCCCCCUCCCCAAUUCAUACGGCAUUAUUAAGUAUUCAUUCCAUUUAUUAACAAGUUAAUAGUUAUGGCUAUUUUAGUCUGGAGCAGGAGCUCUAUUGUUGCAUUGACUUUUGAGAAAUAAGCUGGAUCAUAAAAGCAUAAUUCUGUUUGGGACUCAGCUGCAUGUAGCCCAGCUGUGAAUACAUUCAUCAUUUUGCCAAAUGUUAAAGAGAACAGCAGCCAACUUGUCACAUUGUCUGAAAUUUGGCAGAAAAAUAACCAAGAUCCAUUCCCAUAACUGCAAAAUAAAUAUUCCAUUGUUGCGCCUAUCUCUUUGAAAUCAAUGGGAAGAUGGAAUUUGGGCUGCAUAUACGAUCCACUGGUCAUGCUCAUAUCAGGAUUCAACCUCUAAUUUCCACCUUUGACUGUACUAUCCCAACCUGAUUUGGAAUCAUCAUCAUCAUCUCAUAUAUUGUCAAAAGUUCUAUUAAAUAUCAGUAAAAAUAACUCACUGUACUUUACAUGAAAGGCUGUACUGAACUUCUAAAGUCUGGUCUAUUUAAUCUACAUAAUUUAUUUAUGUACUUACUUGUUAGGUUAUUAUGCAGUCAUAGCUGACUCUGAGCAAUGAUGUCAAAAUCAGUUUUUCUACUAAGUAUACACUCAAGGGGGAGCCCAAUUGUGCCUCACUUAUUCAUUUGGUGUUAUAAAAGUGUUUA
This is a long non-coding RNA of Python bivittatus (Burmese python), 1510 nucleotides long. RefSeq lists it as uncharacterized. NCBI's taxonomy places the organism in Eukaryota, Metazoa, Chordata, Lepidosauria, Squamata, Pythonidae. The record is from RefSeq and is a predicted model, not a curated record.